AUGCUUACCUGGCAGGGGAGAUACCAGGAUCACGAAGGAGGUUUUCCCAGGGUGAGUCUUAUCCAUUGCACUCCGGAUGUGCUGACCCCUGCAAUUUCCCCAACUGGGGGAAACUCGACUGCAUAAUUUGUGGUGGUGGGGGACUGCAUUUGCACUCUCCCC
This is a small nuclear RNA of Echinops telfairi (small Madagascar hedgehog), 162 nucleotides long. Its record names the gene U1. It matches the Rfam family "U1 spliceosomal RNA". From Rfam's summary of the family: U1 is a small nuclear RNA (snRNA) component of the spliceosome (involved in pre-mRNA splicing). Its 5' end forms complementary base pairs with the 5' splice junction, thus defining the 5' donor site of an intron. NCBI's taxonomy places the organism in Eukaryota, Metazoa, Chordata, Mammalia, Afrosoricida, Tenrecidae. The record is from Ensembl.